Long non-coding RNA from Pseudopipra pipra, 6219 nucleotides. RefSeq lists it as uncharacterized. NCBI's taxonomy places the organism in Eukaryota, Metazoa, Chordata, Aves, Passeriformes, Pipridae. The record is from RefSeq and is a predicted model, not a curated record. The transcript has 3 exons.
AACUUCAGGAGGCAACCGUGGAAGAAGGAGGGAGAAGGGGGCACGGGCUUGUUCACAGCUGCCCAAGGACUUGAAGACCUGAGAGGGCCGGUGGCCUGCAGGCAGGGCCACGGGGGCGACACGGCCCGAAGCGCGGGUGAUAUUUGUGGAAAACCAGCCAGAGCAGAAUCUCUCGGGUGGGUUCUUUACUGCAGCACAAGACAAAAAAGCCCCACAGAAAGAGGGAAUCUGGAAGAUAUUUUAAGCUAAUGUGCACCAUGAGUUAGCCUGUCUGUGUGUCAGCACUUUAUGUCAGGUAGCUAAAAAUUCUUGGGUGCCAUACAAGAUUUACCAUAUUACUGAACCAAUGCCUCUUUCUCUCAGGAACACUGCAUUCAUAUGCAAAACCAAUUCACUUACAGACACAUUUAGCAGCAUCCUAGUCUCCCAGAUGUUUUCAGAACACUACAGAGAUUAUCCCUGCUGGUCCGUGUCACAAGCUUCCAGGAGUUAAGCAGGACAAAAGAUGCACACUGUAAUUUAAAGAUUUCUGCACUUGAUAGUUUUUCAGUGUACAAACUUAUACUCCCCUGUAUAUAUUUGUAUGUGUGUGUGUUUGUAUGUAGUAUUUACCCAUUUAUCUAAGCUACUGCUAACUUUAAAUACUACUUUAUAUCUUACUUUUUUUUUUUCCAGGACCACUGUAUGCAUUCCUUCUUCCUUUCCCUCCCUUUAUGCCAAGCUCUUCUGUGGGACCUAUUUUACAGCACCGAAAGACUGCUGUAGAAAAUUGCCAAUGUCUUAUAGCACAGUUACUGCUUUCUUACAGUCAUUACAGUCACUUUCUUACAGAAAGGAGUCAUCAUUUAACAGUUGUCAGCAGUUGUUCUCUUGCAGCAGCAAGUAGCUGAGCCUGUAAAUCUAGAAUGAGAAGGGAAAGUUGGAGAAGUUCUGCCUCAACUUUUAACCCCACCUCCAGGUUGGAAAGGGUUUAAGUCACUAUGUGUAAAACCCUAAAGCAAUAAUAACAGAAUUCAAUUACCACUAGCACAUAGGUAAUUUCUUUACAUAUGCAACCAUAUCUAGAAAUAAUAUAUAUGUGUGUGUGAAUAUUAAAGUUGACAGCUCACGGCUAUUAGCUAAUGGUACUAAUACUGUAAUUCUUUGGAAGAUAUUCCACCCUGCAUGGAAAAUACUUCCAUUUUUACAAUAUUUUUAAUUACUAAGGAAAUCUUAUACUUUUUCACAGAAUAUUAAUCUUGGUCAUUUGUUCUAAUCUGCAAAGCUUAUUGAAAACAGCUGAAGAUAACAAUUGCUCCAUGUGGGCUAAGAGCCAAGAAGCCUCAAUUGUUUCAUAUAACUGACAGGCAAAUUUUCUGUGUCAUUCUUGCUUGGCACCAGGAAUUUUCACAACACUGAGGCAGAAGGUAAGAGGGUGCCUGCACGAGGCGUGAGUCCGCAGAUGUACGUGCAAUCACAGAUACCCACAGUAAGCAAUAGGAGCAGUCAUUCCCUGAUUUGUGCAAGGUAUUUCAGCUCCUUUGGCCCUGUUCACUCACCACAAGAAGGACUAACAGUCUCCAUUACACCUCAGGAUGCCAAGCCCUGUAGAGGGUAACAUUUAAGAGACAACAGUCGCUGCCAUGGCUGCAAACUUUGUUUUCUCACUGCUGAUCUCGGGUAUCUGAGGCCCAAUCAUCCUCUCCUUAGCAAAUGCUAUCUGAUCAUGUGUCUGACAGCGUUCCAUGGGCAGUUCCAAUUCUUUCCAGAUCAGAGUUCUAGCUUUUCAUGGCAUAAAGCAAUCUGAUACUCUGGCCUAGCUCCAGCUUACACAAGCCAAGGGGAAGACCUCAGCAAUGGGACAUUUUUUGUCAGCACCUGUCUCCAAGUGCUCUGUUACAGAAGUGGAAAAAGUCUACAGUCACUUCACUCAAACCAGUUUCUUAAUCACAUCUCCUCUGUAGCACCUGCUUUAUCAUGCACAGCAUCUUAAAUUGUGGCUUAUUAUUUUCCACAGCAUUCAGCUAACCCAGUCUGGGGGCCAGAGGUGACACCGCUUGAAAUUCCGAGACUGAGACAGAGGAUGGAAACAGAGGCAUUUUCUGAGGCGAUCUGUGUACAGCACCAGUGAUUAAACUGCUGGAUGAGAACUCGGCUUCAUACAGUUUCCAUUCAGUUUUCUAGCAUCGGGCCGGAGCUUUGCCUCUCUGCUGUUUCAGCAUUUGUCCUGAGGAGGACAAACGCUGUGCAAGGAGGAAGCUGGAGCAGUGCACCUAUGCAUGCAUGUCCCUCGCUGCCCUAAGAUACGUCCCUUAGCAAAAAAAUAUUUAAGACUUCCUCGAUGGAAUUAAAGUAAUACAACUUUGUCAUCCUUCACCCUAAAAUAAGAGAAAAUACAGGGACCUUUCGUAUGCUUCUGGUUUUCAACUUUCCCAUGAACAUCAACAUCAAAUCUUUCCAGAGUCACCCUACCACCAUCCCUUAUGAUGCAUUUAGAAAGGUGGUGUUUUCUUCCAUACUUUGCACAACUGUGGAACUGGCAGUUCCUUUACCUGUAUCCUGUACUGCUUGGUACAGCUUGGAAGCUUUGCUUAAAAUUAGCUUUGCAGGUAAUACCCAGAAGAGUUGAGAUGCCGAGCAGAAUAGCAGGCAUUUGACAACUGUUAUCCUGAAAUCAGUGGAGUAUAUGAUGCCGUGUUUCCAACCCUGCUACUGUACUCCAAAUGAGCUUCUUAGAGCAUAGACCAGCACUGGGCUGCCCACACCAAGAGUGGGCAGUCUGUGUGGUGGGCAGCAGUACAUGCCUCCUCCUACACGGGAGUUUGCUCUCCUGUUACAAGCAAACCACAAGCUAUGUGAAUGUGAUUAAGCAGUAGCACUUGGUACCAGUAGUCAGGGCCUGAAGCUUACCUUUCCUUAGAGUAUAUGCAGAGUAAACUAGGCUCCCCUUUGAAAUAACUGAGGCUGUCUUCACAGAUUCCUUCACUAAGAUUCAGAAAGCUCUCAGGCAGUUAAAGAGUCUGGCUCGCACAACUAAGAAACACGCAACUUUGCUCUGAAGGUUUUUAGCAGUCAACAGAAAUAGCACUUGGUAAAGGUCAGCAACUCAUCUUUCUAGACCUAAUAACAAUAACAGGGCCAGCAAGGUUGUUCUGUGACGAUGCCCACAGUGAUUUAUGACCUACAGGGGCUGUGUUACAGCAGGAGCAAAAAAAAUCCGCAAUAUUAGUUGCAGCUUGGAGGAGUUAAUAAAACGUGCAGCUGAGGGUAGGGAAGGCUACUCUGCCCUUGUUAGCUAAUCUUUCUGUGUGGCUUUUAGCAGGUUACUUCUCCCAUAGAGAAUUGAGAUCCAGGGAAGCCAGAGAGUUUGGCAAGAAAGCUGUGAAAAGACCAGGAAGCUCAGCUCCGCUUUCAAUCAGUACUUGCAGUUACACUUUUAUAGCCUGCAGCUAGUUUCUUUUCACAUGUAUUUUGUUGGUUGGGAAGAAGAGAAGAUGACAAAAUUAACAAUCUGUGGACUGAAUAACUUGGCUGGGGGAAAGGCAGGGCAGAGUUGCACGCUGGAAGGACUGCUUUCUAAUUUUGUGCCACAGAUGGACAGAUGGGAAACUACUCCUGAGAGCUGAAUCCAAUGUAGAGUUGUUAACUUGCAUCUUUCCCUAGUAAACAUGACACUGUAGCAUCAGGAGUGAAAACUGAGCUGAAGAAUUACCUCUUAUCAAUCAAAUGACAAAAGUGUGAAGGGAAAAGAUAACAGCCCCCCCAACAAACCCUCCUCUUGCCAGCUAGACCAUUAAUGGGACUAGGAUCUCUAAGAGGCUGAAAUAACAAUUCAUCCUCUGCACUUAAUCAGCACGGCUGCAGAACUGAUGUGCAUAGAAAUGGAACUAAAGGAAGAACAGCAGCAUUGACGGCCACGACAAUAAAAGGAUAAACUUGCCAGCUGUCACCAGCUGUCUUCCUAUAACCCAAGUAACUGCCAUUGAAUCCUCUCUGGAAAUGGGACAUGCUCCACAGAUAGCCUUGUCAGUCAUGGUGUGUUUCUAAGGGUAAGCUCAGCCUCUGACUAUGUCAUAAUUCUCUUAAGAAAGACAAUAACUGGCUCCAAAUGAAGGCUAUAAACAGUCAAGAACCCCUGACUUCUCUUCAGAGUGGAGACUGGCUAAGUAAAUGUGCAACGCAGAAAAGCCUGUGUGGGAAGGAUCCUUUGGCUGCGUAGCAACGUUACACGGGCAUAUUUUGUGGCAGGAAUCUGGCACCCAAGACAGCGAAAGCUACACUGAAACAACUCUUGGAAAAGCUGGGUUAACAGCCCCAUCAUGACUGCCAAAUACCAAGAAAGGCCACUGACAGCUAAAGGGACAGCAAGCGUCAGUCUGCAAAACCCUUCCAGUGUCCAAGAGACAGUACAAGCUAAAUACUACUGAACCUAGAUUCCAUGGACUAUGUCUUAAGACACAGCACAGAGGCAAGUCAAGCAGGCUGCAAGGAUCAGAACAAGCAGUACUUCCUUCAGCAGUGGCUCCUAAAGCCGCUUCCACACUGGCACCACCUACUUUUGCUCACAGCAAAGGUUGCCAUAGUCACAGCAGCUGUGUGGGGCUACCAGUUACUUGGUUUUAAAAGAAAGUUCUUCUUGAGUGUUUUGUUUUACGUUUUUCUUCUCCUGUAGCGUAAGUGUUACUGGUAAAUAGUAGAAAAUCAAAGACCUGAUCUGGGCUACAAGCGUUUUGUAGAUGAACUCACUAGUAGAAAUACAUCAUCAUCUAUCAUCUGCACUAGUCAUAGUUCCUUAGCUAUACCGAUUCUCUCCCCUCCUUCAAAUAGAAUUAAACGUUUGUUGUUCAAAACCUCUUUAACCGUUUGAGUGUCCUUCUUAUUUGGUUUGAUCCCCCCUCGAGUCUCCAAGAAACCUCGUGAGAGGAAAGGCAAAAGCAGUAAAAAGAGAAAUGGCUGAUGCUACCUGACGGUGAAGUCGAAACACUGCGCGUGUUUAACGACUCGUCGGGGACAUCUCCUGACCGACCGCGGCACUGCAAAUAAAAACUGCGCAUCGCCGAAACCCACGCACUUGAUCGCGCGGGAAGUUUUGGCAACAUGCACGGAACUCGCGCCUGCGCAAAACGAAAAGCGCUUCGAUCACGUGGUAUGCCCAGGGUACAUGGCGACGAACUCGCGCAUGCGCGAUGAUGUACUGAUUCUACCGAGUUCUGCUUUUCUGGGAUCGGUUUGGGAAAAUCACACGAAAUUCUAAAAAGCUUCUCUCCGUGUUUUCUAGUUGCUUUUUCAGCCUUGGUCUAAGUUUCAUGUAGAAAAGGGCAUAGAAUUAGAACAGGUAAACUAGAUAGAUGGAUAUCUUGGGAUAGAUGGAAGAAAAGUCAGCUGAUUCCAGUUCUGCUUUUCUUGUCUUCCCUUUGACUGUCAUUUUCUCUCACCUACUGUUCAAAUAGCCAGCAAUUAAUUCCUCUUCUGAAAAGGUUGCUGUACUAAGUGUCUGUCAAAUUGAUGCCUUCAACUCAAGAUAGCACAUAUUUCUUAGUUAUAAAUUUCUCACAGGAAAUUUUCAGGCGUGCCCAUAAAUCUCAUCACUGUUUGGGAGAAGAUUUUCUCGUCUGUAAGAGAAUAGUCAUGGCAUUUGCUAUUGAAUGCUGGUGGCAAUCUAGUCAGAAGAGGACCCCGUGCUUCACUAAUUUUCCCUUUUUGCUGUUGGGGGUGACUUCUUCCCAGGGAUGUUCUUCUUGACCCCCCGGGGCAAAGGGAGGCGUCAGCGUCAGGAGCCAUCCUAACUGAGGCCCCGGCUCCCUCUUUUCCUUCGGUGGCCGUGGGUGUGCCGGACGCCUCUCUGGCAGGACUAACCCUGUGGCUUUUAUGUCCAACGUGCUGUGUGUGCCUGCAGGUAAGAAAAGCUGGGAGUGCAGUCCCUCUGCUUUGAUUGCUGUGUCUCUUGGGUAGUGAUUUUGGAGGGGAAUCCCAGAGCGAUUUGGUUUGAAGGGGACCUUCAGAGGCCAUCCUGCCUUCCGUGGGCAGGGACACCUUCCCCUCUCAUCCCCGACUGGAUGCUCCCAGUCCCAUCCAGCCUGGCCUGGAACACUUGCAGGGAUCCAGGGGCAGCCUCAGGUUCCCUGUGCAGUGUGCUCUAAUAUCUCUCCACUGGCAUCCUGAAAAAUGUCGUCAGCGUGUUUUGUUGGACGACGCUAGGCAGGACCUGGGUGAAAAGGACAUUCUCUGAGGUGCUGGGAG